AUGACCAUGUGCGAUGCAGAGAAGCGGCUCCUCGCCAACGCGCUUCUCGAUAUCUCCAACGAAUGGUUUGUCCUAGUCUCAGAGUCGUGCAUCCCUCUCUACAACUUCACAACGAUCUACACCUACUUAAGCCAAUCAAAACACAGCUUCAUCGGUGCUGUUGACGACCCUGGACCUUUCGGUCGAGGCCGGUACAACGAGAAGAUGGAACCUGAAGUUCCCAUCACCAAGUGGCGAAAAGGGCCACAAUGGUUUGAGGUAGGCCGGGACCUGGCAGCUACCAUCGUCAGAGACACGUUGUAUCACCAGAAAUUCAGAGAGUUCUGUAGACCCGCUUGCUAUUCAGACGAGCAUUAUUUCCCUACGAUGCUCACUAUUGAGAAACCGACGGCGUUGGCUAACCGGAGCGUGACGUGGACGGACUGGUCUAGAGGCGGGCCCCACCCGGCUACGUUUGGGAGAUCGGAUAUUACAGAGGAGUUCUUUGGAAAGAUCUUCGAUGGAACAAACUGCAGUUACAAUGGUCGUAACACUUCCAUGUGUUAUCUUUUUGCGAGGAAGUUUGCUCCUAGUGCUUUAGAGCCGCUGCUCCACAUUGCUCCCAAGAUUAUGGGGUUUUGAGUUAGUACAGUAGUGUCUAUGAUACGGACAGGAUAUGGAUUAUAUGAGAUAUUUUGCGCCAAUAUCCAUUUUAUUUGUUUGUUUUAUACAAGUUUGGAAUAAACGAGGUAUUAUAACUGAGAACGUUGCACAACAGGAUCUUGUAACUUUAGACGUCAAAAGAAAAAACUAUGUAGCUCAAUUUUUUUGGUUCCUGACGUUAAGCCCGAUGCUUAAAUUAGAUAAGAAGCUAUAAGGUUAGGUUAUAAGUUAGUGGUAAUUUGCUUACCGACCAAGGUUUUUGUUUGAAUACUGAAAUACUACCUACAGCACAAGUGGCAAUGGGAACAUAACACGGACACAGGUGUAUAAACACAUUUUUAACACAUUCACUCUCUUUUCCUUUAUUUUCUUUUUGUUAUUUUUUGUUUUAGAUAAAAAUCCAUAUUAAAAUAUUCUAACAAGAUUUUAUUAAUUUUUAUAGAACACAAGAAAAUUUCAUUACCAUUUUUAAUAUUCUAACUAAUUAGUUUAAUCAUUUUAAUAUAUGGAAAUUUAAUUUGAGCUUAUUAAACAUUUUGUGGUUUUAAGGGAAUAUUUAUAUUUUAUUUAAUAAAUAUUAAUAUUAUAUAUAAAUGGUAAACAAUACUAAUAUAUUUUUCUUUUUGCACAGUUUUUUAAAGCUGAUAUUACAAUUAUAAAUCAUAUUAAAUAGAUGAUUCCACGACCGAUAAUAUUAUUUAGGAAAAUUCAUGUUUAAAUGCAUUAUUCCAACCGUCUUAUAAAAAUUUGACCAUGUUUAUUUGCACAAUGCUAAAAUAAGUCUGUAAGCAUUCUCACCGAUAAUGUGUCUACUUGUUUAAUAAUCCGGAACUAGAAAAAGAGAGCUUACCCACUGUUUAGUAGCCUAUUUGACCUCAAUUGUUUUUGCAUUAACAUAUCGCCACGAGUCUUCUGCAUUCAUUAUUCGAUUACUUUUAGUUGCCCUUGAUACUUAAAGAUUGAUAUAGAGGCUCUCUAUAGUGUUCAAAGGAUGCAGUCUAUGGUUGUACAGUUGGAAGAAGGGAAAGAGAACGGAAUCUCGGUUAGGACAGAACAGUAUAAGUCAUUUAGACCGCAACUGCUUCUUGUCCUAGGUCUUUUUCUUGCUGGUGGUGUUACUAUCUUCAUCAUUAGUACAAACAAGUAUACUGGACUACAAAGUGUAGUAACCACAGUCACUUCUAGCUUUGUCCCACGCCGCGAGGAGGAGCCUGACGGUUUAAGUAAAUGGAUACAACCUCCUGGGGUUCUGAUGCAUAACAUGAGCGAUGAAGAGCUUCUUUGGCGAGCUUCUUUCUGGCCUCGGAGAAAAGGAUAUCCGUUUAAAAGGGUUCCAAAGAUUGCCUUUAUGUUCUUGACAAGAGGCCCCUUGCCUCUUGCUUCGCUUUGGGAGAGGUUUUUGAAAGGUCACAAGGGGCUUUACUCGGUUUACAUUCAUCCCCAUCCAUCUUAUACAGCCAAGUUUCCAGCUGAUUCUGUUUUCUACCAGAGGCAGAUACCAAGUCAGGUCCGUAAAUUUUUGUUAAUGCUUUUUUAACAAUAAAAUGUUCAAAUAGAUAAUGGCUUUGUAAUUAUUUUAAUUUGUAUUUAUUAAAAAUUAUUUAUAAUAUUUAAGUUUAAACUAGAUUUUGACCCGCCCUUUCAAAGGGCGGGAUUUAUGUCCUUUUCAAAUUCUAUAAAUUCUAAAAUUUUAAGUUCUAUUAUGUCAUAGGUAGCUAAUCUUCUCAACGGCUACACAAAGCCAUGCCUAAAAGUCAUUCUUCUCAUGCAUUAUUUUGGGGUCACAAAUUUUUAAAAAUUAUAGUUUAAUGGUUUAGACUUUUUGUUGUAAAAAACACUUCGAGGAGAGUUCAACUAAUUCACUUUCUGAAAUUAACUAUUUUAUCUAUAUGAUAUAAGCAUAUUUAUAUUAUAAAAUUAUUUUUAACAGUUUUAGAUUUGUGUAUUUGGUGAAAAUGAUAUAUAUAUAUAUAUAUAUAAGUUAUAUAUAGUUAUAAAUAAGUUUUUUUUUGAAACUUGCCUUUAAGUCCUAAAAUCAUUCUCAUGGCACUGCGGCUAGGUCUCAUGUCUUCCGUAGGAGUGACGGUGAAUGUUGCUUCGAUCUUCUUGAAGAAGUCCGAGAUGUGAUUCCAAAAUAUGCUCAUCUUCACUGUUCUUUUCUUAAAAUACUUCGGUUCGCGGUUUAGAACCUCAACUCCACUACUAUGAAACAUAUAAAUUAAUUAAGGGUUUUCAUCGUUGAUCAAGAAACAAAAAAAUGAAAGUUGGAAGUUAGUUAAGGGUCAUUUACCUGCAGUAAAUGAGAACGAAUCAUGAUUGUAGGCUUGUAGCACUUCCAUUCUCUCUUCCUGGUAAAUAUUUAAUUGAUUCGUCUUCCGGAGAUUCUAUGUCAGCACCUCCAUUAAAAGAACCGUGUAGCAUUGAUAGAAAAUAUAUCGAAGAUUUUAACACUGCCCUUCUAUAUGUUUUUGUAAGUACUGUAUAUGUUUUGUGGGUUUGAUUAUAAUCCUCUAUCGAUGAAUGUGUUUAUAUAGAGAGAGACUUCAGUGCAAUUUUCUUAAAAUAAUGGUCAAUAUAUUAUAGGAAUAGAAUCAUUUAGUUUAGGAAGUCCCUAUAUUAUUGGUGAUACAAUAUAUUUUAAAAUAGCUUAAAAUAUAAAACUAAUAAUUGAUACUAAUCUCAUGAGCAAAAUCAUAACUACUAUAUAUGGUUUCAAGUUACUAUAAAAUAGGAACAGCGAUAUUUAAUUUAAAUAUUCCUACAGUAUUUAAUGGUGUAGUUAAUACUUAAAUUGUUACCCAAGUUGAAAAUCGUGGAUUUUAAAACGUCUUGUCUAUGAUUGGUCGAAUAUAUAAUUGUAAUAUUUAAAAAUACAUCUAAAAAUGGCAGUGGCAUUCUAUUGUAAAUAACUUCAAAAAAUAAGGGUAUAAUCCUAUUAGGGAUUCUGCUUUAAUAGUAUAGAUAUUUUUGCUACUAGUAACAAAUAUUUCUAGAUCCGCCAUUAAUAUCUAGAAAACAUCAUUGCGCAGCUUGCACAAUGGGGGAGAAUGAACAUGUGCGAGGCAGAGAGGCGGCUUCUCGCCAACGCCCUGCUAGAUAUUUCCAACGAAUGGUUUGUUCUAGUCUCAGAGUCAUGCAUCCCCCUCUUCAACUUCACAACAAUCUACACCUACUUAAGCCAAUCAAAACACAGCUUCAUGGAUGCUUUCGAUGACAAUGGACCCUUCGGUCGAGGCCGCUACAACGACAACAUGGAACCCCAAGUUCCCA
This 3912-nucleotide long non-coding RNA is filed under the name Brassica rapa (field mustard). RNAcentral's name for it is "long non-coding RNA (BRAP_LNC001709)". Lineage: Eukaryota; Viridiplantae; Streptophyta; Magnoliopsida; Brassicales; Brassicaceae. The record is from RNAcentral.